AUUGAACGCUGGCGGCAGGCCUAACACAUGCAAGUCGAGCGGAUGAGUGGAGCUUGCUCCAUGAUUCAGCGGCGGACGGGUGAGUAAUGCCUAGGAAUCUGCCUGGUAGUGGGGGACAACGUUCCGAAAGGAACGCUAAUACCGCAUACGUCCUACGGGAGAAAGCGGGGGAUCUUCGGACCUCGCGCCAUUAGAUGAGCCUAGGUCGGAUUAGCUAGUUGGUGAGGUAAUGGCUCACCAAGGCGACGAUCCGUAACUGGUCUGAGAGGAUGAUCAGUCACACUGGAACUGAGACACGGUCCAGACUCCUACGGGAGGCAGCAGUGGGGAAUAUUGGACAAUGGGGGGAACCCUGAUCCAGCAAUGCCGCGUGUGUGAAGAAGGCCUGAGGGUUGUAAAGCACUUUCAGUGGGGAGGAGUGUUGUUUGGUUAAGAGCUGGACAAUUGGACGUUACCCACAGAAGAAGCACCGGCUAACUCCGUG
RNAcentral lists this ribosomal RNA (484 nucleotides) under uncultured bacterium. RNAcentral's name for it is "bacterial SSU rRNA". It matches the Rfam family "Bacterial small subunit ribosomal RNA", at positions 30 to 507 of the family's 1533-position model. The record is from RNAcentral.